GAAAAGCCUAAUUGGAGCCCACUAAGGGUCGGGAAAAAUCCCGAGGCACUUCCAAUAAUUAGUAGACCACGUCUACUUGCUAAUUGCGCAAUCAAUUUAUCUAAAUCACAUCACAAUUGACUAAUAAUUGCUAAUUUAUUCUAAUCUAACAACCUAAACAUAAUUAAUUAAAACUAAACCAACCUUAAGCAUAAUUAGCCAACUAAUC
RNAcentral lists this long non-coding RNA (208 nucleotides) under Eucalyptus grandis. RNAcentral's name for it is "long non-coding RNA (EGRA_LNC000285)". The record is from RNAcentral. Lineage: Eukaryota; Viridiplantae; Streptophyta; Magnoliopsida; Myrtales; Myrtaceae.